RNAcentral lists this ribosomal RNA (253 nucleotides) under uncultured bacterium. Its description in RNAcentral is "partial 16S ribosomal RNA". It matches the Rfam family "Bacterial small subunit ribosomal RNA", at positions 524 to 776 of the family's 1533-position model. The record is from RNAcentral.
UACGGCGGGUGCAAGCGUUAAUCGGCAUUACUGGGCGUAAGGCGCACGCAGGUGGCUGAGUCAGUCGGAUGUGAAAGCCCUGGGCUUAACCUGGGAAUUGCAUUCGAUACUACUCGGCUAGAGUAUGGGAGAGGGAAGUGGAAUUCCCGGUGUAGCGGUGAAAUGCGUAGAUAUCUGGAGGAACACCGGUGGCGAAGGCGGCAUCCUGGACCGAGAUUGACGCUGAGGCGCGAAAGCCAGGGGAGCAAACGGG